RNAcentral lists this ribosomal RNA (797 nucleotides) under uncultured Gammaproteobacteria bacterium. Its description in RNAcentral is "bacterial SSU rRNA". It matches the Rfam family "Bacterial small subunit ribosomal RNA", at positions 163 to 954 of the family's 1533-position model. The record is from RNAcentral. Lineage: Bacteria; Pseudomonadati; Pseudomonadota; Gammaproteobacteria.
GUAAUACCGCAUGAUGUCGCAAGACCAAAGCAGGGGAUCGCAAGACCUUGCGCCUUUAGAGAAGCCUAUGUCUGAUUAGCUAGUUGGUAGGGUAACGGCCUACCAAGGCGACGAUCAGUAACUGGUCUGAGAGGACGAUCAGUCACACCGGAACUGAGACACGGUCCGGACUCCUACGGGAGGCAGCAGUGGGGAAUAUUGGACAAUGGGCGAAAGCCUGAUCCAGCAAUGCCGCGUGUGUGAAGAAGGCCUUCGGGUUGUAAAGCACUUUGAUCUGGGAAGAAAAAGCUUCACCUAAUACGUGAAGCCUUGACGGUACCAGAGGAACAAGCACCGGCUAACUCUGUGCCAGCAGCCGCGGUAAUACAGAGGGUGCGAGCGUUAAUCGGAUUUACUGGGCGUAAAGCGUGUGUAGGCGGUUCGUUAAGUCGGAUGUGAAAGCCCUGGGCUCAACCUGGGAAUCGCAUUCGAUACUGGCGAGCUAGAGUACGGUAGAGGGUGGCGGAAUUCCGGGUGUAGCGGUGAAAUGCGUAGAUAUCCGGAGGAACACCGAUGGCGAAGGCAACCACCUGGGCCUGUACUGACGCUGAGACACGAAAGCGUGGGGAGCAAACAGGAUUAGAUACCCUGGUAGUCCACGCCGUAAACGGUGGGCGCUAGGUGUGGGGGCCAUUCCACGGUCUCUGUGCCGCAGCUAACGCAUUAAGCGCCUCGCCUGGGGAGUACGGCCGCAAGGCUAAAACUCAAAGGAAUUGACGGGGGCUCGCACGAGCGGCGGACCAUGUGGAUUAAUUCGA